GCAGUCGAGCGAACAGAUGAGAAGCUUGCUUCUCUGAUGUUAGCGGCGGACGGGUGAGUAACACGUGGGUAACCUACCUAUAAGACUGGGAUAACUCCGGGAAACCGGGGCUAAUACCGGAUAAUAUUUUGAACCGCAUGGUUCAAUAGUGAAAGACGGUUUCGGCUGUCACUUAUAGAUGGACCCGCGCCGUAUUAGCUAGUUGGUAAGGUAACGGCUUACCAAGGCGACGAUACGUAGCCGACCUGAGAGGGUGAUCGGCCACACUGGAACUGAGACACGGUCCAGACUCCUACGGGAGGCAGCAGUAGGGAAUCUUCCGCAAUGGGCGAAAGCCUGACGGAGCAACGCCGCGUGAGUGAUGAAGGUCUUCGGAUCGUAAAACUCUGUUGUUAGGGAAGAACAAAUUUGUUAGUAACUGAACAAGUCUUGACGGUACCUAACCAGAAAGCCACGGCUAACUACGUGCCAGCAGCCGCGGUAAUACGUAGGUGGCAAGCGUUAUCCGGAAUUAUUGGGCGUAAAGCGCGCGUAGGCGGUUUCUUAAGUCUGAUGUGAAAGCCCACGGCUCAACCGUGGAGGGUCAUUGGAAACUGGGAAACUUGAGUGCAGAAGAGGAGAGUGGAAUUCCAUGUGUAGCGGUGAAAUGCGCAGAGAUAUGGAGGAACACCAGUGGCGAAGGCGGCUCUCUGGUCUGUAACUGACGCUGAUGUGCGAAAGCGUGGGGAUCAAACAGGAUUAGAUACCCUGGUAGUCCACGCCGUAAACGAUGAGUGCUAAGUGUUAGGGGGUUUCCGCCCCUUAGUGCUGCAGCUAACGCAUUAAGCACUCCGCCUGGGGAGUACGACCGCAAGGUUGAAACUCAAAGGAAUUGACGGGGACCCGCACAAGCGGUGGAGCAUGUGGUUUAAUUCGAAGCAACGCGAAGAACCUUACCAAAUCUUGACAUCCUUUGACCGCUCUAGAGAUAGAGUCUUCCCCUUCGGGGGACAAAGUGACAGGUGGUGCAUGGUUGUCGUCAGCUCGUGUCGUGAGAUGUUGGGUUAAGUCCCGCAACGAGCGCAACCCUUAAGCUUAGUUGCCAUCAUUAAGUUGGGCACUCUAGGUUGACUGCCGGUGACAAACCGGAGGAAGGUGGGGAUGACGUCAAAUCAUCAUGCCCCUUAUGAUUUGGGCUACACACGUGCUACAAUGGAUAAUACAAAGGGCAGCGAAUCCGCGAGGCCAAGCAAAUCCCAUAAAAUUAUUCUCAGUUCGGAUUGUAGUCUGCAACUCGACUACAUGAAGCUGGAAUCGCUAGUAAUCGUAGAUCAGCAUGCUACGGUGAAUACGUUCCCGGGUCUUGUACACACCGCCCGUCACACCACGAGAGUUUGUAACACCCGAAGCCGGUGGAGUAACCUUUUAGGAGCUAG
Molecule: ribosomal RNA, 1415 nt
Filed under: Staphylococcus sp.
Lineage: Bacteria; Bacillati; Bacillota; Bacilli; Caryophanales; Staphylococcaceae
Description: bacterial SSU rRNA
Rfam family: Bacterial small subunit ribosomal RNA
Source: RNAcentral